CCCAGACUCCUACGGGAGGCAGCAGUGGGGAAUAUUGCACAAUGGGGGGAACCCUGAUGCAGCGACGCCGCGUGGGUGAAGGAGCGUUUCGGCGCGUAAAGCCCUAUCGGCAGGGAAGAAGGAGGACGGUACCUGACUAAGAAGCCCCGGCUAACUACGUGCCAGUAGCCGCGGUAAUACGUAGGGGGCAAGCGUUAUCCGGAUUUACUGGGUGUAAAGGGGGCGCAGACGGCAGCGCAAGCCAGGAGUGAAAGCCCGGGGCCCAACCCCGGGACUGCUCUUGGAACUGCGCGGCUGGAGUGCAGGAGGGGCAGGCGGAAUUCCUGGUGUAGCGGUGAAAUGCGUAGAUAUCAGGAGGAACACCGGUGGCGAAGGCGGCCUGCUGGACUGCGACUGACGUUGAGGCCCGAAAGCGUGGGGAGCAAACAGGAUUAGAUACCCCUGUAGU
Molecule: ribosomal RNA, 448 nt
Filed under: uncultured bacterium
Lineage: Bacteria
Description: partial 16S ribosomal RNA
Rfam family: Bacterial small subunit ribosomal RNA
Source: RNAcentral